RNAcentral lists this small RNA (783 nucleotides) under Rattus norvegicus (Norway rat). Its description in RNAcentral is "circSgms2_2-3". The record is from RNAcentral. Lineage: Eukaryota; Metazoa; Chordata; Mammalia; Rodentia; Muridae.
UAUCCAACGGGCUACGAAAGGGUGCCAAGAAAUACCCGGACUACAUCCAGAUUUCCAUGCCCAAUGACUCCAGGAACAAGCUUCCCCUAGAGUGGUGGAAAACAGGCAUUGCCUUUGUGUACGCUCUCUUCAACCUUAUCCUGACAACAGUCAUGAUCACCGUUGUGCACGAGAGGGUCCCUCCCAAGGAACUCAGCCCUCCACUCCCAGACAAGUUUUUUGAUUACGUCGACCGGGUCAAAUGGGCAUUUUCUGUAUCAGAAAUAAAUGGGAUGGUAUUAGUUGGGCUAUGGCUCACCCAGUGGCUCUUUCUGAGAUACAAGUCAAUAGUGGGACGCAGAUUCUUCUUUAUCAUGGGAACUUUAUACCUGUAUCGCUGUAUAACUAUGUACGUCACUACGUUACCUGUGCCCGGAAUGCACUUCCAGUGUGCUCCAAAGAAGGGACAAUACCAUCCUCUGUGGGAAGGAGAACCAGCUUCCUUGUGGUGACUACACAGCAGACCAGAAGGCCACCGUCUACGAUUCAUAUCAGCACACACAGUCUAUCCUAAGAGUCCAUGUUGAUCUUGGAAGUAGAGAGGUUUAAAAGAAGUUCCCACAGAAACCAAGAGCCUUACCAUCUCCUUUAGCUCCGAAGGCUGGCGGACAAUGGAUAUCAUAGAGACAGCAAAACUUGAAGGUCAUUUGGAAAGUCAAACCAACAACUCUACCAACACUUACACAAGCCCCACUGAAGCUGUAGAAGAGGAGGACAAAAAUGGCAAGGGUAAACCCAAGACCU